Molecule: long non-coding RNA, 971 nt
Organism: Diabrotica virgifera virgifera (western corn rootworm)
Lineage: Eukaryota; Metazoa; Arthropoda; Insecta; Coleoptera; Chrysomelidae
Exons: 2
Source: RefSeq, a predicted model, not a curated record
GUGCGUGGUAAUGUUAUUGCAACUUUAAUAAUUAUUUUCAGUGCAAAAAAAAGCCUGAUCAAUGUUCAAAAUAGGUGAUCAUUGCUCAGCGCUUUAUUUCCUAUCGAAUACAGUCAUUUGUUUUAAAGAUUUCGAUCAAUGAGGUGCCAACAUCUUUUUUUCGUCCUUGAAUUUUCAACCCUUAAUAAAAAAUAAACUACAGGUGAUCAAAAUCUGAAACCUAGUGAUCAUUGCUGUACAAACCGUGAGCAAAAGGAUGGUAUAAUUAUUUUUACGAAAUUCGAUCAAUGAGGUGCUAACAUCUCAUAACCGUAUGACGUAGAUAUAUUAAUAUUAUGUGACACUUGACAGAAGCUCGAAACAAAUGACUAUCGAUGAAAAGCCCUAUUGGGUCAGACCAGUGAUAUGGGAGGGAGUGGAUCAAGGUUCAUAGAUAGGGGUUAGGUUAUCUCAUAACUAUGUGGGCGGAAGCGAGAGGGAGGGGAAUGCCUACGUCACUCGUACGACAAAGUCAAGUUUGACAGUUGUUUGUGGUUAUAUUUCCGUAUAUUUUUGUGGAAUUUUCUUAUAAUAUCGUUUAUUUGUUUAAUAUUUGUUGAGUUUUUAAGCAUAUAAGGACAAUAUUACUAUAAUUACUUAUUUGGGUCCUAUACAAAGGCAGUAAUGACUUGUGAAGUGUGUUUUCGUAACCGUGUAAAAUGAGUGGUGGUAACAUUUGUAGCAUAGCUAUAUGUAAAAGCAACUCCAAAAUUCCUGAACCAGAUGGAAACAAAAUAAUGUUUUUGGACAUUUCCCAAAUACCUUUAAAUAAUGUUAACAUUAUCAAACAAUAAUGGAUAAUAAAAUGUUACAAAAUAAAUGGGCCUCUAAACAUAAGAAAAUAGGUAGCAAACAUUUCCUCGUGUCUGAAUAUGUUAAUAUUAUGUUACGUCUUUUUUAUAUUUUAACCUAAUAAUAAAUUAUUUAUAUUA